RNAcentral lists this long non-coding RNA (6250 nucleotides) under Lactuca sativa (garden lettuce). RNAcentral's name for it is "long non-coding RNA (LSAT_LNC001571)". The record is from RNAcentral. Lineage: Eukaryota; Viridiplantae; Streptophyta; Magnoliopsida; Asterales; Asteraceae.
AACGACCGAAAAAUACAACCAAUUUUAAAUUUUUCAAAAACAGCUCGAUUCCAUUAAAUCCUUACAAAAAGGUUUUCAAUACAAAACAUUUAACGUAUUCCUAGAAUCACAUUACUACAAAAUCAUGAGGAGCGGUACGAUCACGCCUUCGCCUUGCCAUGGUCUCCUGAAGAACCUGAAAAAUAUAAAACCACAACUGUAAGCCCGAAAGCUUAGUGAGAUAUCCCCAAAAUACCAACCACAUAUACCAUACACGCAUAACAUGCCAUAACUUAUCAGAUCACAGAACAACCAUGCACUUCGGGUCUACGGUGUGACUGGUCCGCCGCACCGGCCUACAGUCCACCUGGUCCACCCUCUGAGUCUAUCCACAUACAUCGAGUCUGCAGUGUGAUUGGUCCGCCCUGCUCCCGGGCCUUCAAUCCACCUGGUCUACUCUCUGAGUCUACAGUAUGACUGAUCCGCCCGCACCGGGCCUUCAAUCGGUCUGGUCCACUCUCCGAGCUUUCGGCACGUCUGGUCCGCCCUUUCGGGGCCUCCAGCCUAUCCGGACCACUCGCUGGGCCUUCGGAACAACCGGUCCUCCCUGGGUAUCUUGGCCUACAACACAUAGUAGGACCCGCCUCAACCCAACUCCAGUCCAAACAACCAUGUGCACAUAUACAUACAAUCAUUUAGAAAUUCACAGUCAACAAGCAGAUCAAAUAGAUCACAUAACAUAUCCUCAUCCUAACCAGGAUACCGACCUAACAGGUCACUAGCAUAGCAUCUCCCUAUCUCUCAGGAUACCGAUCUCAAUCAGGUCUCUAACAUAUACCAUCCUAACUACCAGGAUGCAAUCAUAUCACAGCAACAACAUAACAACAAGUACCCGGAUCUCAAUCCGAUAAAGGGCCGACCUUGGUGCCUUAGACCCUGUUGAUAUAGUGAGGAUAACUCACCUCGAAACUGCCGACUGAACAGAUAACCCAAGCUGCUCCGAUCACUGAUACGAUAACCACCACUGGACAACCACCAAUGCACUGAACUCAACACAAUAAUCAACAAUUACCAAAAUGCCCCCGGAAACCACUGGUCAACCCUUGGUCAAAGACAAGGUCAAAGUCAACCCCUGACUGACUCUACUCGCCGAGUCAACCCGAGACUCGCCGAGUCACCCCGAGACUCGCCGAGUCCAACAACUCUGAGUCCACUCGCACACAACUCACCGAGUCAUCCCACGACUCACUGAUUCUCGAUUCAACCAGAAAAUAUUGGGACUCUUCGACAAGACUCGCCGAGUCCAAGAACAGACUCGCCGAGUCUAAGGCUAUCUUCAACCUACUCGCCGAGUUGUUCAUACAACUCGCCGAGUUCCAGGCCAUCUUCAUCCAACUCGCCGAGCUGUUCUUCCAACUCGUCGAGUCCUAGCUCAUCUUCAAGCAACUCGUCGAGUCCGCCCAUGUGACUCGCCGAGUACCACCGGUCUGAAUCCAUACAGAAGCAUUCCAGGCCAUGAAAAUGAUCCAAAACAUAGAUCUAGCCUCCUAUAAUCCAUCCAUCACGUAAAGUGGCAUACUUUACGUGAAUCCAAGGAGAUCUAGGCCUUUUACACCUUAGGGCUAGGGUUUGGGACAUGGUAGCUUCACUACACACUCAAACACAGGGAAUUUCAGGCAUUCCAACCCUUCUCCAUUCCAGAUCUGAGGUAGCAACCUCAGAUCUAACCUCUAAACUCCAAAACACCAAAAGAUAUGAUCUCUAACACCCACAAAAUGAAGAAUCUAGACAAUAGCAGCUCAAACAAUGGAAAGAUACCUCAAAAGGAAGCUCCAAGAGAAGAUUAUCCCAAAUCCUUGCAAAGCCCUUUGAUCCAAGCCUCUUCUUCUCUAAGAUCUCUUCAACAACCACCUCUCUAAGCUCCAAUUUGCUCAACAAUGGGGUUUCUCCACGAAAUUAGGGUUUCUGGGACUCAAGGGGUGAUAAGGAGGCUGGGGAGGAAACAUAAUGUUCUUUAUAUAGGGCUCAACCCCGAGAAGUAGGGUUUUCUCCAAUCUACACCUACUCGCCGAGUCCAUCUCACUGACUUGCCGAGUCGGCUACUUAAUCACGCGACCAAGUCGCGACUCUACUCGCCGAGUCCAUCCAUGGACUCGCCGAGUCGCUCUUUCCUAAUUUACUCUUUUAGCCCUUCAACUCUACUCUUGACAUUUUGGGAUGUUACAAUUCUCCCCCACUUAAAUUAGGCUUCGUCCUCGAAGCCUACAGCAACUCAACUCCAAAGAUACGCCCACAACGCGCCACCUGGCCUUAACCGGACCAGGUCCCUCAAGGCAUACCCAUCGAAACUCAAACUCACUUUCUCUUUCCUUACGGUGUCCUGACCACCGUCUCGAGCCAGGCACCGGCUGCACCCUCUGAUAAUCACACUCAACAACCGAGAAUUACCCAAGAUGCAUCACUGCUCCAAAUCUCAACAAUCAGUUGACCCAUAUGGGCUAGAAAACCAUGAACCAUCAGCUCCCCGAUCCGAAUCCCACUCUAUCCAUCCCAUGAUGACGGAAAGACCCAUUCUUCAAUCUCAGAGCAACUCCCACGAGUUCUCCUCUUGCAAUCACAUACACAUGCUGAACUAGCUCUAGCAUCCUCAGGUCGGGAAAACCCGAUGCACUGAUGAUAUCCUCAAACAUCCCCCAGGAUGAACCACUAAUACAUACCCAAAACCCUGAUCAGGAUCACACUGAGAGCCCAAGACUCUCUCCCUGCAUCUCUUCCGAGCCUCUUGGCUCUACACCUGCAGAAUUCCCAUUGCAAUCACAUACACAUGCUGAACUAGCUCUAGCAUCCUCAGGUCGGGAAAACCCGAUGCACUGAUGAUAUCCUCAAACAUCCCCCAGGAUGAACCACUAAUACAUACCCAAAACCCUGAUCAGGAUCACACUGAGAGCCCAAGACUCUCUCCCUGCAUCUCUUCCGAGCCUCUUGGCUCUACACCUGCAGAAUUCCCACCGCGACCUCAGCAGACAUCCCAAACCGGAUGAGCUUCUAUUCCACUGCCGCAAACAUGCUGCUCAAUAACCAUACUCGAAUUACACUACUCAUAACUCUGCUCUGCCGCUUUCACUUCCGUGAACUUGCACUCCCUCUCGGAGUUACACACCUCUCUCUUUUCCUUUUCCAAGGAAUCCACUUGGCCACAUUGUCACUCCGACAAGUGUCACGGUGCUCGCCCAACGCUGCACCACCCUUUUUUAGCGUAUCCGCUAUCCAUCCAACACACAUACUCUGACUCUCAUCGCAGGGACUCUCAACUAAUCAAGAUCCCUACUCGGGGCCAGACCUUCUAAAGCAAUCAUACUGCAACAUACACAAUCCAUAUCCUCGAACCGAUCCAACAAUACCUGCAGAGUCUUCAGCAUGACUGGACCGCCUCACCAGGCCUUCAGCCCAUCUGGACCACUCUCAGAACCUUCAGCCAAUCUGGACCGCUCUCAUUGCCUUCAGUUUGGCUGGACCGUUCUCCGAGCCUUCGGCCUGACUGGUACGCCUACCGGCCUUCAGUCUAUCCGGACCGCUAAACUAGCAUUCAUCAUUCCGAGCUAUCACUCCCGGGAAUCCUCCUAUGCGUACUGUUCUAGCCCUUUAAGGGUUCCGAACUCUGUCUCAAUCACACAUGCUCCAUCCCGGCCUGCUCCCAGGCCCUCCAUAAACAAAUACCCUAGGUCUGUAUCUCGCCCCGCAUGCCCAACACUUGCUUCUAUCAGCCUAUACUCUGGGCUGACAGAACACUUGUUGAAUCCCAACAGCUAAGCACCCUAAAAUACUCAUCGAUCUCCCGGAGAAUUCUCCAAUUCUCCCCCACUUGUAGUACUGAUUAACCACCAUCAUUCGCCAUCACCGACCUCCCAGAACAACUCUACACAAGGAAAACACUUACACGCGGACUACUUCCCACAGGCAUAAACAACCUUAACGAGAACUCACAUCAACACUGAUUAACCCGCUCGAAAGAAACUCAAACUGCAUCUAACCACUCCUCAGAAAGCCGAUGCUACCCGACCUUCAAACCCAAUGCUAGGUUCCCACUGAUAACUCUCACGGAUGAUAACCAACGAAAUUCCCAAAACAAUAACCCAUAACCAAACCACAACCCGCAAAACGAUGAAUACCGCAUCGGAAACCACACUAGAUACCAGCACAUAAACAAUACACCACGAUAAUCACAAGAUAAAAAGACAUCAAGAAAGAAACAUACCCGCAGCUGCAUCUGGCACUGCCCUGGCCUCCUCUGCUACAAGCUGAAAAGCACGACCCUGAGCCCUUGGGGGCUCCGCUCCAUCCUGACCUCCACCUGUAAUCCUCAAAGUGGCCGGUGCUAGAGCCUGCACCGGUCCUGCAGCAAGCUGUGGACAGUUGACCCUUAAAUUUCCAACCUGAUGACGAUGAUAACAAAUCCUCAAAUCCCGAACCGGCGCUGACUGCCGACAAUCCCUCGCAUAGUGCCCCUCCCUUCUGCACUUGCGGCAUGCACCACCGGACCUACAAACUCCGGUGUGACCCCUCCCACACUUCCCACAAGUGUGGCUGCUCAGAUCCCCCACUCUAACAUCAACGGUCUUGGACCGUUUCGGUGCCGGCUGUGACUGCACCGGAGCCUGCCUCAGCUCACGCAACUGCAACUCAAUCUCUAACUCACGCCGCCUAGCGGCCUCCUGCAACUCCAACAAUGUCCCGCACCUCUGCGCAGACACAAACUUCCUGAUGUCCCUCUUAAGCAUACUCAGAUAUCGGGACAUCUGAGCGUGCUCCGAAGCGAACUCAGGGCAAAAUAUCGCCCUUUUAGUGAACAUCCUGGUGAUCUCAGUCACCGACUCCGAAUCCUGCUUCAGCUCAAGGAACUCCUGAGCCAAUCUCUCCCUCUCAACUUGCGGAACAUAACGAGUGCUGAACAUCUCUCUGAACUGAUCCCAUGAUACCGCAGCCCUCUGCGCAUCUGAAUAUGACCUCGUGGUCAAUCUCCACCAAUCCUUCGCCCCGAGCCUCAACAGGUUCAGAGCACACCUCACCCUCUGAUCAGUAGGGCAUAAACACGUGAAGAAACACCCCUCCACGUCUGAUAACCAUCUCAUAGCNNNNNNNNNNNNNNNNNNNNNNNNNNNNNNNNNNNNNNNNNNNNNNNNNNNNNNNNNNNNNNNNNNNNNNNNNNNNNNNNNNNNNNNNNNNNNUGUAGCCGCCGCGGCAGCCGUCUCUGUGAGAGCUGCAUAGCGCUCAUCAAAAUACUCAACCAUGGCGGUCUUGAUCGACCCAAACAGCUCCGGCAACUCAGCCCGGAACAACUCAGCAAUCUCAUCACGCAGGAUCUCACGAAUCCUCGCAUCCAACUCGCACGUGCUCAUCUGACCGAUAACCUCGGGCGGUACCGAUCCGGCCGGAACUCUCUCUCCUGCUCCCGAUCCUGAUCCGGAUCCGCUCUCAUCAUGCCUCGGAAUCUCCAUACUGAAAACACCACACAAAAUCUCAGACUCUUCCUACUAUCCUGGGAUCCAACUCUCUCCCAACCCAACCCUAGAGAUCAUGGGUUCCCUGAUACGCGUAUGGGUCCUGUGCUUUCAGUAGUACGGGCCCAUACUACCUUCCACACCUACCCAUAUUUGUAUGAAGUACUACCACAACACCCUAGAGAAACAUAACGCUCAACCCUCACCACUAGAGGAACACUGAAAAUCUCCCAUAAGGAACCCUAGGCUACAGGCAUCACAAAUCAGGCAACAUUAUCAUGAAAUCCUGAAGAUCCCUACCCUAUCACUAGCAUGCUGUUCUAACAAAGCUCAAAAACAAAUCUCAUGUAUGGUAUUUUGGGGUUACUUACUGGCUCCGGCUGAUCGUACCUCCGCGUCCUCCCUUACUCAUUUUGAAAACCAUUUUAAGUACUCAUUUGAAAACUCUCCUCGAUUUGAGACUGGAGUCACACGAAUGUUCCUCCAAUUCACUCAAACCAAGGCUCUGAUACCAACUUGUAACGACCGAAAAAUACAACCAAUUUUAAAUUUUUCAAAAACAGCUCGAUUCCAUUAAAUCUUUACAAAAAGGUUUUCAAUACAAAACAUUUAACGUAUUCCCAGAAUCACAUUACUACAAAAUCAUGAGGAGCGGUACGAUCACGCCUUCGCCUUGCCACGGUCUCCUGAAGAACCUGAAAAACAUAAAACCACAACUGUAAGCCCGAAAGCUUAGUGAGAUAUCCCCAAAAUACCAACCACAUAUACCAUAC